RNAcentral lists this ribosomal RNA (497 nucleotides) under uncultured bacterium. RNAcentral's name for it is "partial 16S ribosomal RNA". It matches the Rfam family "Bacterial small subunit ribosomal RNA", at positions 28 to 507 of the family's 1533-position model. The record is from RNAcentral.
GAUGAACGCUGGCGGCGUGCCUAAUACAUGCAAGUCGAGCGAACGGACGAGAAGCUUGCUUUUCUGAUGUUAGCGGCGGACGGGUGAGUAACACGUGGAUAACCUACCUAUAAGACUGGGAUAACUUCGGGAAACCGGAGCUAAUACCGGAUAAUAUUUUGAACCGCAUGGUUCAAAAGUGAAAGACGGUCUUGCUGUCACUUAUAGAUGGAUCCGCGCUGCAUUAGCUAGUUGGUAAGGUAACGGCUUACCAAGGCAACGAUGCAUAGCCGACCUGGGAGGGUGAUCGGCCACACUGGAACUGAGACACGGUCCAGACUCCUACGGGAGGCAGCAGUAGGGAAUCUUCCGCAAUGGGCGAAAGCCUGACGGAGCAACGCCGCGUGAGUGAUGAAGGUCUUCGGAUCGUAAAACUCUGUUAUUAGGGAAGAACAUAUGUGUAAGUAACUGUGAACAUCUUGACGGUACCUAAUCAGAAAGCCACGGCUAACUACGUG